Molecule: long non-coding RNA, 444 nt
Organism: Gossypium arboreum
Lineage: Eukaryota; Viridiplantae; Streptophyta; Magnoliopsida; Malvales; Malvaceae
Exons: 2
Source: RefSeq, a predicted model, not a curated record
UAUAGAUGAUGAAAAUUGAGACUUGGACCUAGAACGGAAAGAAAUCGAUUUAUGGACGAGUAUGUCCUUUUCACAUUUGUGGUAUCGAGAGUUCCAGGUUAGCUCGGGUUGGAGGCCGUUAGAGAUAUUAUCACCCUAUCGAGUUAACGUUAUCGGAGUAAGUAAACUCAAGUGAUUCGAGUCUAUGGCAUGUAUAGGGUUUUAAUGUGAGUAUGUAAUAUUAUGAUUUAGCCAAAGGCAUUGGCUUGUUAUUAAGGUAGUAUUAGUCAUGUAAAUUGGCCUAUGUCGUCUAAUGACGUUAUGGGCCCAUAUGAUUAUUCUUAUGCAUUUAUGUUAUUAUUUCUUGUGAUGUGGCUUACAACAUGUAUGCCUAGAGAUUGAAUUGAGAUUCAUUGAUGAGCUAGUAACUAAUGCAGGAUUAAGUGAUUGGUAAAUAGUUAAUAA